GAUAAAGGGCUUUUCAUUGAAUUGAAAUAUCGAGUUGAUACAACCGCAUCAAAGAUCACCCGGCCUCUGCAUAGCUAGAUGCACACAGCCAAAGUUUCAAAGUACUAGAAGUCAAAAAAAAAGGCAAAAAACGCCAGCAGUAGCGAAAAAAGAUAAAAGAGGCCUAAGGUGAUGCCGGUCCAAUCCGAAGGUCACACCGCCAUCCAUGGGGGUAAAAAAUGUCCCUGGCCGAGCACUCCAACCGGGUAGAAGCCAUCAUAAAAAGGUCUCUGUCCUCCGGCCUCUGCAGGAUAGACCACAUACGGAGCCAUCGCAAGCAUAUAUGAAUUACCUGCAUAGGAGAUGAAACACUUUUAUGAUUAAAAACAAUAUCAUUCCUGGUGAGCCACAACGCCCAACAUAAGGCAGCCGCCCCCGCAAGAAUGUGCUUAGACAAUUGUUUAUCUAUUCCCCUCAACCAUUUGACGAACAUAUUCCGUACGCUGCAUGGAGGAUAUAGAUUCGAAGCAAUUUGGACUAUUGCCCAUACCGAUCUAGCAAACUUGCAAUCAAAAAAUAGGUGUUUAAUGGAUUCAUUAUGAUUGCAGAAAACACAUUUUUUGCAGCCUUGCCAGUUUCGUCGAGCUAGAUUGUCCCUAGUUAAGAUAACUCCUUUGUUGAGAAACCAUAGGAAAAUUUUCACUUUUAGAGGAAUCUUAAGCUUCCACAAUUUUCUAUUAUCAGAUGGAACCUCGUUAUGAACCAAUGCAUCAUACAUGGAUUUAACCGAAAAUCUUCCAUUCAGAUGCAGGUUUCAUUUAAAGAUGUCCGAUUCAGCCGACAGUUGGACAGCUCCCAAACGAGUCAGCAAAUCGUUCCAUGCAGUCAGACGAGGUCCAGAAAUCGUUUUGCGAAAAGAAAUAUCCGGGUGUUCUUGUCCCAAUACCUGCUUAAUCGUGACAAACUUAUGUCUAACUAUCCGAUAUAAGCUUGGGUAUUGCACAUUUAGAGGAGUAGUCCCGAGCCAGGUGUCUUCCCAGAAUCGAAUCUGGGAGCCGUCCCUAACCGAGAAAGUGCCAAAUUGGAAAAAGAAUUCUUUAGCUUUCAUAACCCCACUCCAAAAAUGAGAGUCACCUGGUUUCCAGUAGACCUGAGAGAUUGCUUUGGACCCAACGUAUUUAUUACGAAUGAUCUCCUGCCAAACACCAUCCUCAAUGAGUAAUCUGUAUACCCAUUUGCUGAGCAAUGCAAUGUUUUUGAUCUCAAGAUCCUGGAUUCCGAGUCCCCCUUGGCUUUUAGGACGACAUAAUAUAUUCCACCUAGCCAAGCGAUAUUUCUUUUUUCAUUGUCACUCUGCCAAAAAAACCUUGAUCUAAAAUAAUCAAGGCGUUGGAGAACACCUUUUGGCAGAUAAAAAAAGAUAGCAUGUAAAGGACCAUGUUGGUAAGAACCGAGUUGAUCAGAACUAGUCGGCCCCCAUAGGACAAGAGUUUGGCCUUCCAGCUCGCCAACCGUUUCUCCAGUCUCUCUUCAACAUGUUUCCAUUCAGCGAUUGUCAAACGCCGAUAAUGAAUAGGAAUACCUAGAUAUCGAAUCAGAAAUUGGCCUAGUUGGCAUCCAAAAAUAUCAGCAUAUUCUUGUGAAGUCUCUGCGGCUUCGCCAAAGCAGAAAAGUUCACUCUUAUGAAAGUUUAUCUUAAGGCCAGAAAGAUCCUCAAAAGCACAUAAUAACAAUUUGAGGUUUCUAGCCUUUUGUAGGUCGUGAUUCAAAAACAAAAUGGUGUCAUCCGCAUACUGUAAGAUUGAUAGGCCUCCUUCUACUAGAUGAGGAAUGACCCUGGUGAUUUGACCAGCUAGCUUGGCCCUCUCAAUGAGAGUAACUAGCAUAUCAGCCACGAUGUUGAAAAGGAUAGGUGAUGCGGGGUCGCCUUGGCGUAGCCCCUUCCUAGUCUGGAAAUAAUUGCCUACGUCAUCGUUCACCUUGAUAGCCACGCUACCUCCAGACACAAAGUUCUCAACCCAUCGGCACCAAGUAUCGGAAAACCCUUUCAUACGAAGAGUUUGAAGCAAAAAAGGCCACUUCACCUUAUCAUAAGCUUUCUCGAAGUCAAUCUUAAAGAUGACCCCAUUCAACUUUUUACGGUGGAGCUCAUGAACAGUUUCAUGUAGGACAGCAACACCGUCUAAGAUGUUCCGUCCUUGCAUGAAAGUUGUUUGUGUUGGUUUGACUACAUGGUCUGCGACCCCAUUCAGCCGGUUAGUCGCGACCUUGGUGAAAAUUUUAAAGCUCACGUUUAAUAAGCAAAUCGGUCUAUAUUGUUGAAUCCGAUUGGCAUCCUUUAUCUUUGGUAAAAGGAUAAUUUCACCAAAAUUGAGUCUGGAGAUGUCUAGUCUAUGAGCAUGCAGUUCAUUAAACAAUUGAACCAGGUCAGACUUUAACAUAUCCCAAAAAAAUUGAUAAAACUCCGCCGGAAAACCGUCCGGUCCCAGAGAUUUGUUGUGUUUCAUUUGAAAAAUCGCAGUCCGUAUUUCCUCCUCAGUGAAAGCAGAGGUUAGGAAUUCAUUUUCCGCAGUGGAAACUUGCUGGAUGUCAUGACAAAUAGACUCAUCCAUCUCCAGCAUAGUUUCCGAGGAAGGACCAAACAAGUCUUUAUAGUAUUUUGUAAUAAAGUCCUUGAGCGGAGCGUCCCCCUCAAUGCGACCCUCAUCCUGAUCAAGGGUGAAUAUUCGUUUCUUUCUAUGUCUGCCAUUGGCUAACAUUUGAAAGUACUUCGUGUUAUCAUCCCCAAGUACCAACGAGUCGCUCUUGCACCGUUGGUACCAUUUGAUUUCCUCUUCGCGUAAGAGACGGGCUAGCUGCUCAUUGAGAUGACCUUUUUGCUCAAUCUCAGCCGCAGAUAGAAGCCUCACUUCCGCGAUCUUAUCUAAGGAGUCGAUCAAGACAGAUAGUCGCAACUUCUCUUUCUUAUAAAUCCUAGCGGUGUGUUUAGCCCAUCCGCGGAGGAAUUGGCGCAACGCACGAAUGCGAUUAUUCCAACGUUGAAUUGGUGUAUCACCCCGUGUUGGGCGUUGCCACACCUUUUUAACCAAUUCAGGGAAACCCUCUCUAGUGAGCCACCCCAGUUCAAAUUUAAACUGAUGGCGGUUCGAAGUGGGUGCUGCUUGACCAAAAUCAGUAAGCAAUGGAGCAUGAUCCGAUAAGGCCUCAAUUCUCUCCAAAGCCCGCACUGAUGCUAAUGGAUAUUUAAAUUCCCAGUCUGUGGUGACUAGCACCCGAUCAAGUUUUUCGAACGUCGGGAUAGAUCUAUUAUUGGCCCAGGUAAAUUGGCGCCCCGAGAGAGAGAGUUCCCGCAAAUCAAGACUGUCAAUGACAGCAUUAAAAAGAAACGGCCAUCGAGUGUCGAACCUAUCAUUGUUUUUAUCCUGCUGGUAUCGGAAAAUAUUGAAGUCCCCCCAAGUAGCAUGGGGUGAGGAUUUUCUCUGCAGGUAUUGACAAGUUCUUUGAGGAAGGCCGCUUUAAAUUCAUCUUGAGCAGCACCAUAUACGGCAACCAAGCUCCAAAUGAAAUUAUCGGAUUUGUUUCUAAGGUGGAAUUUAAUAUGAUACUCCCCCUUUGAAGUUGAAAGAAGUUCCAAGUAAGUGGAGUGUAUUCCUAAAAGAAUACCUCCGGACCUCCCUGAAGGCAGCAGGAUAUGCCAUUCGUAAUCUUUGCCACAUGAAAAAUGGUCCAAAUCACGCGUUGGAAAGUCACGCUUACUACACUUAGAGAUUGCCACGAAGUCGAGGGCAUGAUCCCUAACACAAUCGGAAAUAUGUUUGUACUUAGCCAAGUCACCAAGACCUCUGCUAUUCCAAAACAUUCCUUUCAUGGAGAAACUUUAUUACGUUUGGAUACUUUGGUCUUCUUCUUAGGGUGACCCUUUUUACUACUAGAGUUAGACUUGUUCUUACGUACCGAUGCAACGAGCUCACAAAGCAUCGUAUCACGCAUGGUAUCUUCAAAGUCUACCUCUAUAGUAUCAUUGACCAGAUGAGAGAGGUGUCUGCCUUCAUGGUUGGCAUCGGACUCCUCAUCCUCCUCAUCUGAUACUAGUGGAUCCACCGUCAGAAGCGUUCUAGGAGCAACCGUAAGCCGGUCGAACUCCAUUUCCUUAAGAGUUUUAACUGAGAAAUCAACUACUGCAUCAUUUCUACCUAAUGAAAUACCAAGGCUAGCAAUAUUUGAAGACAUUUUGGCUUUAUCAAAAGAUAGAAAUGAUUUGCAAGGAGACGUACCAUCAAAGUCGAGGUUCCGCGAUGCCGUUCUACGCAUGGCCCUCUGCAUGGAAUCCUCAUCAGUGGCAGAGGCCCCAUCAGCCCCAACAACAUGGCGGCCGCUACGUCUAGGCGGUGAAGUAGUAAACUCCAAAGCAACCCGCAUCCCCGAGGGCCAUAAAGGUGGUGUAGAUGGCUCCGGCGUAGCAGCGGGAGACCUAGAACGCUGCAGCUCAUCCUCCAUAACAGCGAUACAAGGAGCAGCCUCCUCAUCCCGCAGCGGCGACGCAGGAGACAGCGUCGGCCCCGUCGACGCUGCGGGAGACCAUGAAAGCUGCAGCUCAUCCUCCAUGACAGCGUUCGUAGGAGCAGCCUCCUCGUACUGCGACGGCGGCGUAGGAGACAGCACCCGAAGCGUCGCCAAGGCCAUGUCAUGAUCUGCACGCACCGCCGGGGAGAAAAUCACACCCCGACGACCAGAAGAAGCCGAUGUCGGUGUCGUUAGAUGCUCCAAAGCAGCCUCCAACGGUGAUCCCAUCGCCAAGGGCGCCGCAGGCCCAUCAACCCAUGUCCGAAUAGCUGACAUGGGCGAAGCAUCCGGUUGAGGUGGUGGAGGCGGUGCAGAGCUGGCAAGCGAGGGAGGGUUCUGGGGCGGCACGAGCUCCGUUGCCGCUGGCGGGUCCCCCGACAAAGGCUGCGAUGCCAAGCAUGGAUGUGUACUGGCAGGAACGGUCGUGGAAGAGGUGAUUUGCAUCGGAACCACUCCUCCCAAGGAAGAUGAUGCCGCCGUGUUAGCUGACGACGAAGACGCUUUCGGCCUCUUGCUCUUGUCAUCAGCCCUUGAAGUGUCCUCUCGAUCCUGCUCCUUGUCCCCUUCCGUAUCAUCGCCAUGCUCCCAAACGCGAGGCACAAAAUCAGCGUCCACACGGAAAUCAUCAUCUUCCAGAGUGUACCGGAAUUCAUAGCCCUUCUUCUGAACAACCACAUCCGACGAGAGGGAGUUGACAGGGCUCAUCUUAAAAGCAUCAAGAUUAAGCACGCCAACCUGAAUCCUCACAAUACCACGGCGGCGCAAGCAAAGGAGGUCGACGUCAAGAGUGGCGCCAAUAACAGAGCCAACUGCCCAGAGACCCAAGAAAUGUCGGAGAGCGUGAGGAACUCCGUGUACAUGCACCCAAACUGGAAUAAGCUCAAAACGAUUCGGAAUCUCCUCGGAAUGACAAGCCUUGAACUCCAAAGUGACUUUAUGCGAAUUGAUGAAGACCGUGAAACCAGUAACUCUCAGGAGCACCUCGUCACUGGGAAAAGACAUGAUAAAAGCAUUCUGGCCAUGAGGGAUAGCCUCCCACGUCCACUGUUGCUGAUAUUGAGCGAUCUUAGCAACCUCCGCCUCCACAAUGCUCGAAGAGAUAGAGCCUCCCGAGAUCGAAACAAGAGCCGUUGGGGAGGAUUGUGGUGCGAGGUCUGCCCUGCAAACAUUGUCAGGCAUCUGAAAGAAGGCCAUGCUCUCAGUCCCAUAGCAUCGCCGCCGGCUUCGGCAUCUUGAGAGCUGGACACCGCCGAGUAGUCAUCGGAUGGUUCGCCUUGUUACAGAUGAAACAAUAUUGCUGUGUUUCACAAUCUAAAGCCACAUGUCCGGCCGACUGACACUUGGUACACCAUAACUUGGUCAUUACCGUGUUCACCCCGGGAGCAGGUGCCACCUGAGCCACAUCAUGUUGUUGUUGAGCCGGUGCCAUAAGAGGAGCAGCAGUCACAAGAGGCCCCGAGACAAAAGCCGGAGCACCUUGUACGCCAUGAUAGGGCAAGGUGAGUGGAGCAGCGAUGAUCGGGGUGUUUCCCGCAUAGUUCUUAGGCCGAUUUCCUUUUCCUCCCUUCGGUUUCCUAGGACGGAUAUUCCCUGUCUGAACUCCGGCCGCCGAGUUUGCCAGACCAGCGUUAAAGGCCAUUGGCUGGACAGCAGUGGGGUGACCAUGGCUCUGUUGCAAGAAAGGGCCGGCUAGUUGAUAUGAGUACACCGGCGCCAUUUGCUGCAUGUACCCCGGCGGCGCAUGAUACAUCGGUUGCUGCUGAAAGAACUGCUGCGGCAUUUGAUACAUCUGUUGUUGCUGCUGCCCCGGUGCUGGAGUCUGUUGGGGAAGGUUCGGCAUGACACUUUGAGCGGAGGAAGAAGGGAUCACCGGGGGGAACACCCCAGGUGCGAAGCCAGGGGUGCCACCAGACGAGGAGGCGUCCGAGGGCAUCGGCGCGGCGGCUGCAGGUCGGACCUGCCCAGAGCCCGGCGGCGCGGACGCGUCGCGACCCAUCCCCGAGCAGACGGCAGCCAUGAAGGAUCGAGGAAGAUUAGGGUUUCUGCGAGGAGUGUCCCUGUUCCACAUAUGAAACAACCAACGGUUGAGAUUAACCAUGCGUAAAGAACGGUUCAGAUGUGACGCACCUGAGAUUGGGUGAGGGCCCAGGCCCAUCGACCACCCCGACUCGUCCGGCGAAAUGCCCGUCGCACGAAACAUCGGAGGCGCCGUCGGCGUGAUCACCGCCGUCCUCGCCAAGCCGGCCGAGGGCAUGGCAUCUCCCAGAGUACGAGAGGGAGAGACUCUGGGGGCAGGGAGAGGUCCGAUCCAGGGCCGUACCAGAGGCCUAGAUAUAGCCGGAGCCCUCACGAGCUGGCAUGCAGCCGGCGACGACCCCCGCGAAUGAAUUGCCGGCGAGGUCGAAGAACCGUUUACCUCUUGUGCACAAUCCUUCUGAGCAGAUCCUCGCCUAGAAGACGGUCUCUCCCAUACUCGUGAGGCUGAUGUAGGAUACCCAAUGUCGGCCCACAACUCGGCGGCCAGCUCCUCGUCAGUCUUACGCCGGCGCGAUGCCUCGGAGGUCUCGGCCGUCGAGGAGUCCUCACCUCCGUCAUUUGCACGGAGGCAAGAAAAUCGUGAUCCAGAUCCGGCCGGCACCGGAGCGGACCACCCCGACGCUAAGGUCAGGCGCUGGCGGGUGGAGAUCCGCAUCUCGCGGAGCUGCUAUUGCCCUCUAGUUAAAUGUAGCAUGUAGACUUUGAUCUUGGUAUCAUUUGCAUUAAUGUUCUGAUGUGUUUUGAACUUUUGAUGCCUGGUUUAAAAAGUUGUUUGCUUAGUGAUGAAAGAUGAGGCGAUGAAUGCAAAAGAGGGCAAGCGAUUGUUACUGUCUAGUGUCUACUGGUAAUAGUGGAUAGAGAUCGGGCAAGAGUUUUUAGUUAUUCCCCUUUGGCAACUGUCUGCUGCUAGUACUGGUAAUUUCUGGCUGACUCCAAUUACACUUUCUCUGAACAACUAUCCUCUUAUCACAGUAAAGGCUUUGGAUCGUCGGACGAUCUGUCGAGCCUCUUCUUCAUCCUCCGGGAGUUCUUUUUUAAGAAUGUAUGCAAUGUAAGGCACUGUCCAGUCGGGAGUGAUGACCAAAACCUCCAUGAUCAAGUCGACCACGGCUGGGACUUCGACUUCAGUCGGAUCUGUGGCACUCUUAGGCUGUGGGGGCUCUUCAGUGAAAGGAUCUUCCUGAACUGAAGGCGAGUGAAUAUGUUCCAAAAACACAUUGCUGGGAAUGGUCUCUCUCUUGGAUCCUAUCUUUGCCAAUUCAUCUGCAGCUUGAUUUUUCAGUCGGGGUAUAUGAUGAAGCUCCAACCCCUCAAACUUCUUUUCCAACUUUCUUACCGCGUUGCAAUAACGAGUCAUAGCUGGGCUCCUGACAUCCCACUCUUUCAUUACUUGAUUAACCACCAAAUCCGAGUCGCCAUAGACCAUGAGGCGACAGACGCCGAGUGAAAUGGCCAUAAGCAACCCAUAUAAAAGUGCUUCAUAUUCAGCUUCAUUGUUGGAGGAAUCAAAAUGAUUCUGGAGAACGUAGCUGAGCUUGUCUCCACGGGGGGAUCCCAAUAACUACCCCAGCACCGGAACCAUUCAGCAUCUUGGAUCCAUCGAAGAACAUGGUCCAAUGCUCCGAGUGAACUUGAGUCGGCAGUUGCUGCUCAAUCCACUCGGCAAGGAAAUCUGCAAUUGCUUGGGACUUGAUAGCUUUCUUUGCCUCAAACUUGAUAUCCAAUGGAAGGAGUUCAAUCGCCCAUUUUGCCACUCGACCAAUUGCAUCUCUGUUAUUCAGAAUUUUAGACGAUGGUGCAUCGCUGACGACUGUAAUGGAGUGAUCAGAGAAAUAAUGUGCAACCUUCUUCAUGGUCAUGUAAAUUCCAUAAACAAGCUUCUGACAAUGCGGAUAUCUCUGAUGGAGUCAAAACUUCAGAAAGAUAAUACACUGGGCGCUGAACUUUAUAGGCUUUUCCAUCUUCUUCCCGCUCGACUGUGAGUACUGUACUGACAACUUGUCCAGUGGCUGCAAUGUAAAGCAGUAAAGGCUCUUUGCUGAUUGGUGCAGCAAGCACCGGCUGGGUGGAAAGCAGGGCUUUGAGCUCUGCAAACGCUGCGUCAGCUUCAUCAGUCCACUUGAACUUAUCAGAUUUCUUCAUCAAUCGGUAAAGAGGUAAGGCCUUUUCACCGAGACGAGAAAUGAAUCGACUCAAGGCGGCCAAACAACCAGUAAGCUUCUGAACGUCAUGCACACGCACAUGGCGUUUCAUUCGGAGGAUGGCAUCGACUUUCACCGGGUUCGCGUCGAUCCCUUGUUCGGAAACGAGGAAACCGAGUAGUUUUCCACCCGGGACUCCAAAUGUGCACUUCGACGGAUUAAGCUUGAUAUCAUACCUUCUCAUGUUGGCAAAGUUUUUUGCGAGGUCGGUCAGUAGGUCGGAACCCUUACGCGACUUGACCACAUUGUCAUCCAUGUAUGCUUCCACAUUCCGACUGAUUUGAGUGAGCAGGCACUUUUGAAUCAUCCUCAUGAAUGUGGCGCCAGCAUUUUUGAGACCAAAUGACAUGGUGACAUAACAAAAGCACCCGAAUGGGGUGAUGAAAGCUGUUUUUAUUUCAUCGGGACCAUACAGUCGGAUCUGAUGAUACCCGGAAUAUGCAUCUAGAAAAGACAAGCGCUCGCACCCCGCAGUCGAGUCGACAAUCUGAUCGAUGCGGGGGAGAGGAAAAUGAUCUUUUGGGCAGGCCCGACUGAUAUGCUUGAAAUUGAUGCACACACGAAGUGAAUCGUCAUUCUCAGGGACCAUGACCACAUUGGCAAGCCACUCGGAGUGGUAGAUCUCUCGGAUGAACUCUGCUGCUAGGAGCCGAGCCACUUCCUCGCCAAUUGCUUUUCUCUUCUUCACGGCGGACUGCCAAAGAUGCUCUUUGACAGGUUUUGCCUUUGGAUCGACACGCAAACGGUGCUCAGCCAGUUCUCUGGGUACACCCGGCAUGUCGGAAGGUUUCCAUGCAAAGAUGUCCCAGUUCUCACGGAGGAACUGGAUGAGCGCUUCUUCCUAUUUGCUAUCGAGUGUCGUUGGGAUAUGAGUCGGUGCAGCAUUGGGAUCAGUCGGGUGGAUAUGAAUCGGCUUCAUUUCUCCAGACGACUGAAAUGUAGAAUCGGCGGCGGUCUUCUUAGCUCGGAGCAAAUCACUCGGAUAUGCAUUCUUCUGAUAUUCUUGGAAUUCAACUGCUGCCAUUUGUGCAUCGGCAAUUUUAGAACCCUUCUGGAAGCAUUCUUUUGCCUUCUGCCGAUUACCAGUGACUGUGAUCACUCCUCUGGGGCCGGGCAUCUUCAGCUUGAGAUACACAUAACAUGGCCGAGCCAUAAAACGUGCAUAAGCAGGCCUACCCAGAAUAGCAUGAUAAGCACUCUGGAAAUCUACUACUUCGAAUGUCAACUUUUCCUUGCGGUAAUUCUUGGAAUCACCGAAAACCACGUCAAGGGCGAUCUGGCCGAGUGAUUCGGCUUUCUUUUCAGGGAUAACGCCAUGAAAACUCAUAUUGCUUUCACUAAGCUUGGACAUCGGAAUGCCCAUCCCCUUCAAGGUUUCAGCAUAAAGGAUAUUCAAACCGCUACCACCAUCCAUUAGCACUUUGGUCAGUCGAGUGCCUUCGACCACUGGAUCGACCACCAACGCUUGCCUCCCAGGAGUGGCUAUACGCGUCGAGUGAUCAGACUGGUCGAAUGUGAUGGUUGUUUGUGACCAUUUCAGGUAUGUGGUAGUCGUUGCCGGAGCAACCAUAUUCACUUCUCUGUUGAUAACUUUCAAUCGACUCUUGCUCUCAACAUCAGCAAAACUCAUCAGGAUGGAAUUGACUUUGGGAUAACCAUCAUCUUCCUCUUCAUCCUCGUCUUUGUCCGACUCUUUCUCCUUCUCACUGGGUUGUUUCUCUCGGAACUGCUGGAUCAGGAGUCGACAUUGCCGAGUGGUGUGUUUAGGAUAAAUCAGAUUACCCUCUUCAUCCUUCUUCGUAUGAGUGUGACAUGGUAAAUCCAACACAUCAUUUCCCGCUUGAUCUUUUACCUUCUUAGGGGUCCAGGGCCCCUUAGGUUUUCCUUUAAACUUUGCUUGAACUACGGCCGCAAUUUCACCAGGCGCUGCAGGUUCAGCCUUACAUUUCUGUUUCCGAUUGAAAUUGCCUCCCCCGGCGUCCUGGCCGCCUGGUUUACUCUUUCCGCUGUGGAGUUGAUCCUCUUCUUCUCCGUUAGCGUAUCGAGUGGCUAUUUCCAUCAUCCGAGUGAGGGUCAUAUCUCCAGUACGACCGAAUUUCAGGACCAGCUCUCGAUAUUUAACGCCUUGCUUGAAGGCACACACUGCUUGGUGCUCAGAUACAUUUUCCACUGUGUGAUGCAAAGUGGUCCACCUCUGAAUGUAAUCUCUUAGAGUCUCACUCGGUUUCUGUAUGCAAUGUUACAAUUCUGUUAACCCAGCUGGUCACUUGCAAGUGCCCUCAAAAAUCCUGACGAACACUCGGGCAAGCUCUUCCCAACUGAAUAUACUGUCAGGGGCUAACUGAGUCAACCAUGCUUUGGCUGACCCUUCCAACAUCAGAGGAAGAUGUUUCAUGGCCACUUCAUCAUUACCGCCACCAAUCUGCACAGCCACUCGGUAAUCGUCAAGCCAAGUUUCAGGAUUGGACUCUCUAGUGAACUUGCUGACUCCAGUCGCCAACUGAAGUUGGUGUUACAGUAUAUGUGGAUUGUACUAGCCCUUUCCAUCAGUUCGGACUUUUGGUUGUGUUGGCUAGUGCAUGAAGCUUAUCAUGGUAUCGGAGCUAAGGUCUUGAGUUUGAUAGCCCCCCUUUGUGUCCACGUAGAGGCCUCUUGAGUCAUACGUGAGUUUCAUGCGUCGUCGCUCUCUUCUGGUUGCACGUGUUAACUUGUCUUCCCCGUCACACGUGAGAGGGGGUGUUACAGUAUAUGUGGAUUGCACUAGCCCUUUCCAUCAGUUCGGACUUUUGGUUGCGUUGGCUAGUGCAUGAAGCUUAACAUUUGGGAGGAAACACUGCAACCCUGAUGGCUCUGCUGAAACAUUCUGGACCCGAAACAUGAACUCUGCUACCAGUCGGAUGAUUUCUGUCAAGGUCCGCCCUGUGUGCCCUGUUACGGUUGACUAGACCUUGAACAAGAAUAGAUCUCGCAUCAAAGCCUGUCUCUCUAGGGUCGGCCGGUACUCUGCACUCGCCGCUGUGAUGGCGUCUGUCAUCGUAUUGCCGAGGCACAUAUGAUCCGCUCCUCGGAGGAGGUGUGGGCGCUCGACGAUGGUUGUCGCGGUUGAGUCGGUGAUCAUACUGCCCACGACCUUCACGCCGCAGGGGCGAUCUUGGGUUGUGGGCCGACUAAACUGUGUCCGCCACCACGGAUCGGCUAUGGAUCCUAUUCCGCGACUGAGACACUGUUGUGUUAUGUUCUCCUACUGCCCGGAGUAAGGCCCGGAUCUGCAUCAGACCUCUGCCAGCCUCUGACUGGGAAGGCUAAAUUGACUCUGCUAUUCGGGCCGCAGCUGUGAGAUUUUGGAUCGGAGUGCGGUAUACCUUAGGUGGAGGCGGAAAAAACUAUCGUCGACUGGACUCAGGGAUCCGCUCCCGAGCACACUCGUCGAGUGCGCGCUGGAGGUUCUCCAAUUGAGUGUGCUCAGCUAAAUUUGCCAGGCGCACCUCUUCCAAGGCCCGAGCCUUGGGGGUUCCUCCAACGAUGGGCGUGUGGAGUGCAUCCAUGUUGCGGCGACGAAGUUGUUUCCUCUGCUGCGAAGAGAGGGGUUCGAGAUGGUACUCCUCGUGGGCGCGCGACGGAUCGCCGCCACCAUCCCCACCAUCUUCACGGCGGAAACCAGGCGGACUACGUGGUCCGUCGACCAUCAAGACUUCAGCCGCAGGGUCGCUGCUAUCGCACUCGGAUGCAGUCUCAACGGAGCCAGUCGAAUAGGCCGUGGAGAGUUUCAUUGGGCUCGAUUGCCGCGACUUGAUGGAUGACCGAAUGUCGAGCCACCGCGUGUUUCAUCCACCACUGAAGCCGCGACCGACCGGAUCGCUUGCGGCGGCGAACAGCGGGGAGAGAAGACACCAUGGGAGCCGACCGAUACUGGGUCGACGGCUGCCGGAGAAGGACGCCAUGUACGCACGCGCAAAAGUGCGUCGCCCCUCGGACGGGGAGCGCCUCGACGUCAAGGGGAGCUUCCUGAAGCCAGGCGGAGUCGUUGGUGAUAAAAACGAGCGCACCGAGACGGAUCUCGCGGCCCUCAGCCAAUCCACCGCCGGAAACCAUGAUGAUGGGGAUCAGAAAAAUUGCAACUUCAUCAACAAGUCGCUAAGACACCCGCCCCACGGUGGGCGCCAACUAUCGUGGUCCUAAGACUGGCAGUAAAAAGGGGGUAGGUAUGGAGAGGCAAGAUCUCAGCUAUGGUGAAGGUGUACACACAAGGUUUACGAGUUCAGGCCCUUCUCGGUGGAAGUAAAAGCCCUACAUCUCGGUGCCCGGAGGCAAUCGGCUGGAUUAUAUGUGUGUGGUGUUACAGGGGGUGCGAACCCUUGUGCCAGAGAAAGGGGGUGGCUUAUAUAGAGUGCGCCAGGACCCCAGCCAUCCUCCAUUACAAGAGGUUCAAUGUACAUAAAGACAGGGUGUUACUGAUAACGCCAGCCAUAAGUGCUAUUAAUGAUCUUAAAGACUACGGAGUGAACACCUGACCGUUGCAGUGCUGAGCGACUCAUGGUCUUCAGUAGGUCGAGUGAUUCCUUGUAUGGUCGAGUGCCUUCAGGUAGGAGGGGUACCCAAGUGAUAUGAUUGGUCGAGUGGAUGGCACUCGACACCUUCGACCGGGGGUUCUUUGUUGUCUCUUGGACUUCUUUGCUUCUAGGGUAGUGAGCUUGGGUAGGGCGUAUAGGUCAGGUCUAUGACCCUACCCCGGGUCUGUAUCCUCAUCAGGGAGGCCCCUCUUCUGAAACUCUACCACCUUCGUCACCCAGCUUCGUGUGAUGGCUCUUCGGUUGACUCCUCCGCUUCCCCCACCACCGCUAGAGCCGGAUUAAAUCUUCCCUUCCCCGCCGCCACCACCGUUAUGUGUUGUCUUGUGCGCGUGUGUUGGGCUUGUUGUGCUGUGCCCACAGCUGAACCUUGUGUUUGUGAGGGUGUGUUGGACUGGUGCCUGCGGUGGCGUUGUGUGUGUUUGUGGGUUUUGUCUGAUACCUUGUGAACGUUGUGCUCGGUGGUUGCUUUAUUUAUAAAGCGGGGUGAAAGCCUUUUUCGGUAAACUCUACCCCCUUCAGGACGCCUAGGAUAUGCUUCUUGGUCAUCAUGUCUUUCAUCGUCUCCAGUUUGGACCUAAACACUCGGGCCACGAGGUCUGGUUGGUCCUGCAAAUUUUGGCCUGGAAGUAGCGCGUCCUGUAUCUCGGGCCAGUUUGGGUUGCAAGUCAUAGUUAGGAAGAUGGCAGGUUUGCCGAACGUCGCCAGGGUUUCUGUGGUGUCCGCAUACGUCCACUUGGGAGUUUAACGGGUGCCAUCUACAUAAUAAAGAUACCAACAUUAAUUCUCUACAUUGUAAAAGGUGUGUACCAGAAGACAUUCAUGUAUUAGGCAGAAAGCAUAUGUAGGAGCAAGAUUAGCACGAAAAAUGACAAGAAAAAAGUAACCACAAGAUUAUAUUAUGAAAAAAGGAACCAUAGGACUACACAUAAAACGGUAGUACCUAUUACGAAAUAGAACAAGAAAGAUAUGUUUGCAAAGUACAUGAAAAUGGCAUCAAAAGAAUCAAGAUAGAAAUAAUGUAUGGAAGCUCCACCUGUGAUCCACAAUACGCUUCUCUGCCUUGGAGGAUGAAUUAGUUAGGGAGGAUGAUAAGACCUUCAGUUUGUCAACCUGCCAAGUUAAGCAAAUUGUAUUAUUAUUGCAAUCCAUGCUUCACCAAGUGUGUGCACAGUAACGUUGACGCUGAGUGUCCACCAAAUCAAUAUCAGAAGUCUAGAUUGAAAAAGGUAAUAUGAAAGCUGACAUUCUCGCGGUGUCACCAAUGCACAUUGGUAAUUGGUCCUUUGGAACCACACGACACAUGCUUGAAACUUUAGCAGAAGAAUCAACUAUUACGACCAUCAUCCCAAGUGUCCAACAAAUAUGAGUAAUAGUGCAUAGUGUAGAACUAUUCCAUGGCAAAUAUAUCUAAGAAGGAAUACAUUAUAGCAUAGUCCCAUGACUCAACAGAUCGAUUCUUUAGUAAUUAAGUUCAGAAAUGAAGUUCCAGGAACAAAACGAUAGAAGUAUGCACUUUGCAGCGCAAAGCAUGAAAAUAUUUCCCUAUUGGAGAUCUAAAGUAUUACUUCAAAAAAUGCAUGAGUGUGUUUCCAUUCACGUGAACUGUGUUUGUUUGGUCAUUGUCCAAAACUGGAUAGUUAAUUUCACAAUACGAAGAUAUCUAGCUGAACAAAGGUGUACAUAUAGAUCACAGAAAUACAUGCCUUUUGGAAAUGGACCUCUGAGGAAUGCCUAAUUGCCUUUUGUUCAAGAAUGGAGAAUCAAACCUGGAAGCUAUCCGAAAAUAUAUAACAAAUGCUACCUCAUAGGAUAUACCAGAGUGUACACAUAAUCUAUUUCUUCUACUGGUGCACCAAGAGUGGCAGUAAAAAUAUGAGGUCAAAUGCCUAUUAAAUAUAUGCACAGUAUAAAAGGUGUGUACCACAAGCAAACACAUUCAUGUAUUACUCAGAAAGCAUAUGCAGGAGACAGAUGUGAGGUAAAAACUGAGCACAAAAUGGUCGUAGAACCACAGCAGUAGCGCCAACACAAUUAAUCUAACAGAAAAGGUUGAUCAAAGUCAUCUCAGGUAGGAAAUCAGUCUACAAACUCCCUGGAGCAUCAAGGACACAUUAAGACAAGAGUGAUAACAUGAAGCAAUUACAUGCUUGCUGGUAUAAAUGACUCACACAAAGCUCAUGAAAAUCCAUAAACUUCACUCAAAUUAACACACACAAACAGGGCAAGAAUUCGUAAAUAACCAGACGUAGUAUCUAAAAAAUGUACAAAUUAUGUACACAAAUUUCUAUUGCCUACCGACCUAGCUCAAGGAAUGCACUCAGAUACUGAAAUUUAGGAGUAGUGAAUACACAGAUUACUAUUACCUACUGACCCACCUCAAGGAAACGGAUCCGAGCAGAGGUUGCCGACGCUGGACUCUGCAGUGCACCUCGCAAGCUCCUGCGCGAUGCUACGAUGGCCCCCUCCAGGACCACCACCUCCACCUACAAGAUCGAUCAAUCAAAACCAAAUAGCAUGCAGCAACAACGUGGAGAAAAAACGGGAGUGGAGUGGAGCAGACUAACACUUCCUCGGCGGAAGAGGGCGUGUCCGGUGCCGACGACGUCGGCAACGGUCCUGCGGUCUGAGAGGCGGCGGCAGCUACUCCAGCCGCCGGAUUCGACAGAGGCGACGGGAGGCGAGAGGAGAGGAAGUGAGCAUCUUUGAGGGUUCGGGGGAUCUUAUACUCGGCGAGGUUCAAACCCAGCACGAUCGGCAAUCCCCACGUUCUGAGUUGACUGGCGGUUGCACACGCACGGAGUGAGGCUGGUCGUAAGAGCAUCUCCAACCGUUCGGCCCCAGGAUGCCAAAAAAGAGCGGUCUGGGGCAUGCCGGCGCUAGAUCGGCCUUCUGGGGCUCGGUUCGCUCUCAGCCACGCGCCCACGGUCGCCGCGGGUUCAGCGAAGUACGUCUCAGUCUUUUUGCAAACUCGGCGACUUUUACACGAACUCGGCCAUAUUUCAUCCAAAUUUGUAAAAAACUUG
This 16374-nucleotide long non-coding RNA is filed under the name Triticum aestivum (bread wheat). RNAcentral's name for it is "long non-coding RNA (TAES_LNC003924)". Lineage: Eukaryota; Viridiplantae; Streptophyta; Magnoliopsida; Poales; Poaceae. The record is from RNAcentral.